CAACGCCGCGUGGGGGAUGAAAGGCUUUUCCGGAGUUGUAAACCCCUUUCGGACCCGGAAGUAAAGCCCGCAAGGGUUUGACGGUACGGGUAUAAGGAAGCCCGGCUAACUACGUGC
This 117-nucleotide ribosomal RNA is filed under the name uncultured bacterium. RNAcentral describes it as "partial 16S ribosomal RNA". It matches the Rfam family "Bacterial small subunit ribosomal RNA", at positions 392 to 508 of the family's 1533-position model. The record is from RNAcentral.